GAUGAACGCUGGCGGUGUGCCUAAUACAUGCCAGUCGAGCGAACAGACGAGGAGCUUACUCCUCUGACGUUAGCGGCGGACGGGUGAGUAACACGUGGAUAACCUACCUAUAAGACUGGGAUAACUUCGGGAAACCGGAGCUAAUACCGGAUAACAUGUUGAACCGCAUGGUUCAACAGUGAAAGACGGUCUUGCUGUCACUUAUAGAUGGAUCCGCGUCGCAUUAGCUAGUUGGUAAGGUAACGGCUUACCAAGGCAACGAUGCGUAGCCGACCUGAGAGGGUGAUCGGCCACACUGGAACUGAGACACGGUCCAGACUCCUACGGGAGGCAGCAGUGGGGAAUCUUCCGCAAUGGGCGAAAGCCUGACGGAGCAACGCCGCGUGAGUGAAGAAGGUCUUCGGAUCGUAAAACUCUGUUAUUAGGGAAGAACAAAUGUGUAAGUAACUAUGCACGUCUUGACGGUACCUAAUCAGAAAGCCACGGCUAACUACGUG
Molecule: ribosomal RNA, 497 nt
Filed under: uncultured bacterium
Lineage: Bacteria
Description: partial 16S ribosomal RNA
Rfam family: Bacterial small subunit ribosomal RNA
Source: RNAcentral